GACGAACGCUGGCGGCGUGCUUAACACAUGCAAGUCGAACGAAAAGGCCCUGCUUUCGGGGUGCUCGAGUGGCGAACGGGUGAGUAACACGUGGGUGAUCUGCCCCUUACUUUGAGAUAAGUCUGUGAAACUGGGUCUAAUACUGAAUAGGACCAUUCUGUAGGUGGUGUGGUGGAUAGAUUAGUUUGGGUAGGGUUUGAGCUUGGGGCCGAUCAGCUUGUUGUUGGGGUAUUGGCCGAACAAGGCGUCGCAGGGUAGCCGGCCUGAGAGGGUGGACGGCAACGUUGGGACUGAGAUGGGGGCCAGAAUCCUGCGGGAGGCAGCAAUGGGCAAAAGUGUACAAGGGGAGCGAGGCUGAUGCAGCGACGGUCCGUGGGGGAUGAAGGCCUUCUGGUUGUAAAGAACUUUUAGGUAUGACGAAGCCCUUGUGGUGACGGUAGUGGUAGAAGAAGCACCGGCUAACUACGUG
Molecule: ribosomal RNA, 469 nt
Filed under: uncultured bacterium
Lineage: Bacteria
Description: partial 16S ribosomal RNA
Rfam family: Bacterial small subunit ribosomal RNA
Source: RNAcentral